This 513-nucleotide ribosomal RNA is filed under the name uncultured bacterium. RNAcentral describes it as "bacterial SSU rRNA". It matches the Rfam family "Bacterial small subunit ribosomal RNA", at positions 8 to 518 of the family's 1533-position model. The record is from RNAcentral.
AGGGUUCGAUUCUGGCUCAGGAUGAACGCUGGCGGCGUGCUUAACACAUGCAAGUCGAACGGAAACUACUCGCCGAAGCGAGCUUGCUCAAUUCUUGAGUAGUUUAGUGGCGGACGGGUGAGUAACGCGUGGGUAACCUGCCAUAUGCUGGGGGACAACAGUUGGAAACGACUGCUAAUACCGCAUAAGCGCACGAGACCGCAUGGUCUAGUGUGAAAAAACUCCGGUGGCAUAUGAUGGACCCGCGUCUGAUUAGCUAGUUGGUGAGGUAACGGCCCACCAAGGCGACGAUCAGUAGCCGGCCUGAGAGGGUGAACGGCCACAUUGGGACUGAGACACGGCCCAGACUCCUACGGGAGGCAGCAGUGGGGAAUAUUGCACAAUGGGGGAAACCCUGAUGCCAGCGACGCCGCGUGAGUGAAGAAGUAUUUCGGUAUGUAAAGCUCUAUCAGCAAGGAAGAAAAUGACGGUACUUGACUAAGAAGCCCCGGCUAACUACGUGCCAGCAGCCGC